RNAcentral lists this ribosomal RNA (497 nucleotides) under uncultured bacterium. RNAcentral's name for it is "partial 16S ribosomal RNA". It matches the Rfam family "Bacterial small subunit ribosomal RNA", at positions 28 to 507 of the family's 1533-position model. The record is from RNAcentral.
GACGAACGCUGGCGGCGUGCCUAAUACAUGCAAGUUGAGCGCUGAAGGUUGGUACUUGUACCAACUGGAUGAGCAGCGAACGGGUGAGUAACGCGUGGGGAAUCUGCCUUUGAGCGGGGGACAACAUUUGGAAACGAAUGCUAAUACCGCAUAAAAACUUUAAACACAAGUUUUAAGUUUGAAAGAUGCAAUUGCAUCACUCAAAGAUGAUCCCGCGUUGUAUUAGCUAGUUGGUGAGGUAAAGGCUCACCAAGGCGAUGAUACAUAGCCGACCUGAGAGGGUGGUCGGCCACAUUGGGACUGAGACACGGCACAAACUCCUACGGGAGGCAGCAGUAGGGCAUCUUCGGCAAUGGACGAAAGUCUGACCGAGCAACGCCGCGGGAGUGAAGAAGGUUUUCGGAUCGUAAAACUCGGUUGGUAGAGAAGAACGUUGGUGAGAGUGGAAAGCUCAUCAAGUGACGGUAACUACCCAGAAAGGGACGGCUAACUACGUG